This 23-nucleotide microRNA is filed under the name Schmidtea mediterranea. Its description in RNAcentral is "sme-miR-8b-5p". Its record names the gene sme-miR-8b-5p. The record is from miRBase by way of RNAcentral. Lineage: Eukaryota; Metazoa; Platyhelminthes; Tricladida; Dugesiidae.
GCUUCUUACUUGAUGGUAAGAGA